AUUGAACGCUGGCGGCAGGCCUAACACAUGCAAGUCGAACGGUAACAGGAAGAAGCUUGCUUCUUUGCUGACGAGUGGCGGAUGGGUGAGUAAUGUCUGGGAAACUGCCUGAUGGAGGGGGAUAACUACUGGAAACGGUAGCUAACACCGCAUAACGUCGCAAGACCAAAGAGGGGGACCUUCGGGCCUCUUGCCAUCGGAUGUGCCCAGAUGGGAGUAGCUAGUAGGUGGGGUAACGGCUCACCUAGGCGACGAUCCCGAGCUGGUCAGAGAGAAUGACCAGCCACACUAGAACUGAGACACGGUCCAGACUCCUACGGGAGGCAGCAGUGGGGAAUAUUGCACAAUGAGCGCAAGCCUGAUGCAGCCAUGCCGAGUGUAUGAAGAAGGCCUUCGGGUUGUAAAGUACUUUCAGCGGGGAGAAAGGGAGUAAAGUUAAUACCUUUGCUCAUUGACGUUACCCGAAGAAGAAGCACCGGCUAACUCCGUG
Molecule: ribosomal RNA, 490 nt
Filed under: uncultured bacterium
Lineage: Bacteria
Description: partial 16S ribosomal RNA
Rfam family: Bacterial small subunit ribosomal RNA
Source: RNAcentral